This 26-nucleotide ribosomal RNA is filed under the name Phlegmacium lilacinoides. RNAcentral's name for it is "Hymenogaster sublilacinus partial 18S ribosomal RNA". RNAcentral also lists the same sequence under 6 other names. Lineage: Eukaryota; Fungi; Basidiomycota; Agaricomycetes; Agaricales; Cortinariaceae. The record is from RNAcentral.
UGAGUUGGUGCUGGUUCCCUAGGGGG